Molecule: ribosomal RNA, 442 nt
Filed under: uncultured bacterium
Lineage: Bacteria
Description: partial 16S ribosomal RNA
Rfam family: Bacterial small subunit ribosomal RNA
Source: RNAcentral
CCUACGGGAGGCAGCAGUGGGGGAUAUUGGACAAUGGGGGAAACCCUGAUCCAGCGACGCCGCGUGAGUGAAGAAGUAUUUCGGUAUGUAAAGCUCUAUCAGCCGGGAAGAAAGAAAUGACGGUACAUGAGUAAGAAGCCCCGGCUAACUACGUGCCAGCAGCCGCGGUAAUACGGAGGAUGCGAGCGUUAUCCGGAUUUAUUGGGUUUAAAGGGUGCGUAGGCGGAAUGCCAAGUCAGCGGUAAAAUCGCGGGGCUCAACCUCGCUCCGCCGUUGAAACUGGCGUUCUUGAGUGGGCGAGAAGUAUGCGGAAUGCGUGGUGUAGCGGUGAAAUGCAUAGAUAUCACGCAGAACUCCGAUUGCGAAGGCAGCAUACCGGCGCCCAACUGACGCUGAAGCACGAAAGCGUGGGUAUCGAACAGGAUUAGAUACCCGAGUAGUC